Non-coding RNA from Myodes glareolus (Bank vole), 2114 nucleotides. The record is from RefSeq and is a predicted model, not a curated record. Lineage: Eukaryota; Metazoa; Chordata; Mammalia; Rodentia; Cricetidae.
ACAAAGUUUGCUGUUGAAUAGUAUACCCACGGGAUACAAUUAGGAUCAGAGGGUCCAGGACCUGAUCUCUUGGGGACAUUCCACCUCUCAUCUUGGUCACUUCAGAGAAAUGUGUGAUGAAGGGAUCAGGUCCUGGAGUCAAACAGAGUUACCAUGGUCAUUCACCCAAGGCCUGGUCUGUUUAUUUGCUAUUCUGUGCCUUCAUCGUUGGUUGAAUGGACAUAGCCAUGCAUAUUUCAUGAGCUGUAAAGUAACAGAUAAGACAACAAUGGACUCUAUGAUUAAUGACUUCUGAACUGACGAAAUGGUGUCUGCAUUGUGGGAUUUCUGUUAGGAUGGAUUCUGGGUAUUUUGUUGUUUCUUUUCUGUUUCAAAUGUUGAAAAUGAUCUCUGACCCAAGAUAUCGCUCAGUGGGUUCGCCAUGGAUGUUCCCACUGGAUAUAUGAAGAGCCCAUACCCUAGGAUCUAGGCUGUGACUGAGACACACCUAAGACGUCAUUCAAGACCCUCGGAGACCAGAAGAGGAGAUCUCGGUGACCUACCUCAUCAGGAUGGAGCAGAGCUUGCGUGUGACUUACCUGGCUGUGUAACAGGCACUUCGAGACGCUUCCCACUGUCCGAGUCCUCCACACCCUGGGCUGUGAUGGAGUAAGGCCGACUGGCUUUGUUCUUAAAGAUGAUGAGGAUGGAGUCCCCCACCUCGGCAUGGAUCAUUGGGCCUAAAGGCAAAACACAGCCAGGACAUUACAAAUAUUAUGUCAUGCUUAGCAGUGGGGCCAACCUGAGUCCAAAUUCUUCCUCUUUUCCUUAACAAAAGGCCUUGGGUGAAUUGUGUAAUCAGAAUCUCAAUUUUUCUCAUCCGCAGAAUGGGUUCACUAGGACUGCUCCCACAGGACUAUUAAAUGGCAUUGCAUAGGUAUUGUAGAGUUUAUUUCUCUCAACAAAGCCAAGUAUUCAGGAAAUUCUUAGCUUCCCACUGCUCUGGAGCACCAGUGUUUCGUUGUAAGCUGUGAUCCUUUGGAUGAGAAGUGUCCCCCGUAGUCUUGGUCUCCAGUUGGUGACACUAUUUGGGAGGUUUAGUUGGUUUAAACUUGCUAGAGUAUAUCAGUAGGGAUAGACUUUGAGAUUAAAAUCUACAUAUUUCCAGUUUGCUAGCUCUAAAAGUUUGCCUUGUGCCUGCUCUGAAAGAUGCGAGCUCUCAGCUUCCUCUUCUUGCUGCCAUCCUACUGUCUUGCCUCCCUGCCGUGCCAGGCCCCUAGCCCUCCGGAAGCAGAAGCACAGGUUGUCUUGAUCAUGAUGUUUCAGAAGGAACAGAAGACUGAUGAAUGCUAAUGCAGUGUGAAACCUUAAGGGAUCAAAAUCGCUUAUGGUUUAGUAAAUGGGGUUGAUAUUAAUAAUGAGCUCCCAUGAAACGAUAGGUAAUAAAGGGACUUAGGGUAACAAAGCCAUGUUGCAUGUCUGGUGCUAACUCUUGACACAUGGAUAUCAUGUCAUUGAUGCCCGUCUGGUGCAGUCUCUCAAUAUGUAAGAUCGCCUGACCAGUGGUAUCUUCCUCAUGUCAAGUGCCUUUUGCUUUGCAGUGCUAGGGAAACACCCCAACAAGAUGCAGUGAGGCGCUCACAGUCAUCACAGUCAUCUUCAGACUCCCAUUGCAGAAGUGUCUCCCACCUGAGCCCUAAGGUUACCGCUUGGGCCUUUGUAUUCUACAUUCAUCCAGAGAUAUGCCCUUGGAGGGUUAAUGGUGUGACAACACCCAUUCAUUUGUCACUGAAGCAAGCUAUGUCUUUGAUCCUGAGGAACACGGAUAAGGUCAUUAAUACAUCUAAAGUCUGUUGAACUAUAGUUCUCUCCAGAAGCAAAAAGGAACUGCUAUGUGUUUAAACAGUAAGCAUGGAUAUGGCUCAGGCAGUUUGCACACAAUAAAGUUAUCACUCACUGCUGUUUACCAGUCCACUGCACAAGCCUGUGCACAAGCCUUCGUGGCUAAAAAAGUGUCUUCUGGCUGGCAGUGCAAUGUGAGGGGACACAGAGCAUGGUGGACAGAGGCGGACCUGCCACGGCCCCGCUGAGUUACUGGGAGUCCAGGCCACUCUAAGCUGCAAACAGCAAAGGAG